GUGAAUCAUCGAAUUUUUGAACGCAAAUUGCACUCUCUUCGGAAAGUAUGCCUGUUUGAGGGUCAGCCUAAAAAAAAUCUACAUAGUUGCUUUUACUCGGUACCAUUCGUCGGAUAUUGAGUCAUCUUAAACUUUUGGGUUUAAGCGGCUUAAAAUUGUCUUUACUAUUCCAAGAACGUUUCUAAUAUUUUAUCUUCUUAUACUUUUAAAGUAUCGAUCUUUAUUAGACGUGGCCGUUUCUUCGUAUCUCUGCCAUAAUGAUUUCGUUACCUGACCUAAGAC
RNAcentral lists this unclassified non-coding RNA (282 nucleotides) under Glomus sp. RNAcentral describes it as "partial contains 5.8S ribosomal RNA and internal transcribed spacer 2". The stretch from base 1 to 65 matches the Rfam family "5.8S ribosomal RNA", at positions 84 to 154 of the family's 154-position model. Lineage: Eukaryota; Fungi; Glomeromycota; Glomeromycetes; Glomerales; Glomeraceae. The record is from RNAcentral.